UACGAAGGGGGCUAGCGUUGUUCGGAAUUACUGGGCGUAAAGCGCACGUAGGCGGAUUAGUAAGUCAGGGGUGAAAUCCCGGGGCUCAACCUCGGAACUGCCUUUGAUACUGCUGAUCUCGAGUCCGGAAGAGGUGAGUGGAAUUCCGAGUGUAGAGGUGAAAUUCGUAGAUAUUAGGAAGAACACCAGUGGCAAAGGCGACUCACUGGUCAAGUACUGACGCUGAGGUGCGAAAGCGUGGGCAGCAAUCAGG
RNAcentral lists this ribosomal RNA (253 nucleotides) under uncultured bacterium. RNAcentral's name for it is "partial 16S ribosomal RNA". It matches the Rfam family "Bacterial small subunit ribosomal RNA", at positions 524 to 776 of the family's 1533-position model. The record is from RNAcentral.